This 1215-nucleotide long non-coding RNA is filed under the name Monodelphis domestica (gray short-tailed opossum). RNAcentral describes it as "lncRNA (ENSMODG00000044102.1)". The record is from RNAcentral. Lineage: Eukaryota; Metazoa; Chordata; Mammalia; Didelphimorphia; Didelphidae.
AUGGCAUGUGCAAAGCUGUGUAGUGACGAGGUCUUUAUGACAUGCUUCUGCUGUCUGCAAGCCCGAUCCUCUUACGUGGGCUCCGUAGGACAGCAAAACCGUGCGUUCCCAAGGAGCCCAUGGCCCUGCGGAGUGGACUGUUGGUUUAAUCCUCCACAUACAGGAGUUUUCUGUGCGCUGAAUGGCAAACCCAUGGUGAAUGGGCGGCAGAGCAAUCUAAACAAGAAUGGAUGCUCGUCUGUAUCUACUAAAGCCAAUGCUCUGGGUCAGCGCCCUGCUGACCCAAUCUCAAUUCCAUCUCUGCCCUGUGGGGUUGGGCAGCUGCAUGGCUCAGUGGAUGGAUGCAGAGCUGAGUGCAAACCCAGCUUCAGACACUUAUUAGCUGGGGGAACCUGGGCAAGUCACUCAACCUUUAUUUGCCACUGGAGAAGCAACUGGCAAAGCGCUCCCGGAUCUUUGCACGGUCCAGUCCACCGGGUCAUGAAUCGCUGGGCACGACUGAAUAGUAGCAAGCACUGGAUUUUGCCUGGAUUUCUGAUUAGCGAUGGAGGCUUCAGGAUCCAGUGGCAGGACCAAAAUCAAGGACAAAAAAGGGAAUUAUGUCUGAAACCAUGACCUUCACUCAAGUUUGUGCUCUACAACAUUUUUCGAACAGUUCAUAUGAAGUGUAAUAUGAUCCUUCUUCCAGACCCAUUUCAAAAUGCCUUUCAAAACUUGUGGAUCAUCAUAGUAUUUAGACUUGCACCUCCCCAGCUUUACUGUGAAGACAUCGUCUAUACAGGUGAAAAGAUAUGGUAGCAAUACGACGACGUUUUGAGCCUUGCUGACAUUAUAGCGUAUAGCCUUCCUGCAAAGGAGGCUGAGACUGGCUCAUCUCUUGAGUGUGCAGUAGUUGAGCUCCCGCUAGCUAAGCCAGUUAGAAGUCCUCACGAAUAGGGUUGUCUAAGGAGGGGCAAAUUGAUUCAGGUUGGAAAGCUUCCAUGUUGAUUAGGGUGGGUUUGGCUCAUGAGUAACCUCUGCAAUUCCAACCUGGCCAAGAUGGGAAGACCUAGCUUUAAAAACAAAGGUUUAAAACUUGUUUGAGAUGUAUAUGCUUUUCACAAAAGAUAGAGACCAGUCUUUAUUUUGGUGGGAGAUGUUUCUACCUUGCCUGGAAACCAUGAAUACCUGGUGUUGUUUCCCUUUGGCAGAGAGAAGGCAGCUGGAUUAUUUUGG